Molecule: non-coding RNA, 10907 nt
Organism: Zonotrichia albicollis (white-throated sparrow)
Lineage: Eukaryota; Metazoa; Chordata; Aves; Passeriformes; Passerellidae
Source: RefSeq, a predicted model, not a curated record
UUUUUAUUGAAAGCCUCAAUUAAAAUUAAUCUGGGAGGGCAAUAAUAAGGAAGGAAAUGAAGGGAUGGAUAUAAAAGUAUAUGUGUACUGCGGUGUCAUUACUUGUCGGUGGCGAUUAAGGGAGUCCUGCUGUCUGGAAAUUGGCUUUGCCUCCCAGGAAACCUGAGGAAAGCGCUGCCCUAGUUAAUGCUGCCGUAGCUCUUGGGAGAGGCUUGGAAUGAGAUAGAUACAGGUUUUCUUUUGAAAUAUGCUCUUGAAUAAAUUAGUUUGCGUCCAGAAAUGGCAUCUGUUUUCCCUGGCUCAGAUAUUUUUCUGGAAAAGUGUUUAGGUAUGCAGCUCACACGGAAAGUGGGACUAAUAUCUAAGCAGCUUUGAAAAUCGGCGCUGUGUUGUUUUGAGUCAGGACAGAAAUGCUGUUUUAAUUCCAAAGUUUGAAUACAGCAAUGCUGUGGGGUCAGUAAGCCCUGGAGAAGGAAAGGAUGGGCCCUUAGAUGAAAAAGUUAUGAUGUGGAAAAUUAAGUGUUUGGAAGAGUUAAGUGGCCUGGUGUUCAGCGCCACCACCUAACAACAAAGCUUCUCUUUUAUUUUCAAAGAAGUAGCUGAAAACUCUGUGUCUCUUGGAGGUCACUUGCUGAUUUAUCUCCAAUUCACAGCUCAUUAGAAGGUGUGUAACUCUUCAGAGAUGUUGUUAUUUAACAGGCGAAGAUAAAGCCUUGAAUGAGAAUCAGCCAGCGGAGCCACAAAGGGCAGCUGCAGUUUUUGCUCCCUGCACAGGAGGGUGCUCAGCCUCUGUCUUUAUCUGCAGGCAGGAGCAGCUCCCGUGCUCAUCAGGACCAGGUGGAGAAGCCGUUUCCUGAACCGGCCUUUUCCUGUAGUGACACUGGAGGAUCUGUUCAAUCCAGUGACUCAGAAAUUAUUCAGAUGUUCAGGAAUUUCGGGAGUUCAGCCAAAGCACAGUGGCCAGGCUUGUCUGGUUCAGGAGGAAAUGCAGAGGUGAAUUUUAGAGAUGGAUUUUAGAGAUGAAUUUUUGACCAGACCACGUUUGCGAUCAAGUUCAUUUCCACAGAAGGACUUCCCCUGUGCAUUCCGUGUUUCUGUCCCAGCUCUGUCAAUGUCUGGGUGCUGUUCCCAGUGCUGAGGUGCACUGGAAGCUGAUCCUUGGCUUUCCCCCUGGCCCAGCCUUUGUCUGCAGCCGUGGGUGAGGGCAGGCCCAGCUCCUGUGCCUGCUGCAGGGAGAUAACGGGGUGCUUGUUAACCACGGCUCUUAUCUCCCUGCCCUGUGCCCUGCUCCUGCCUGCUCUGCUCACCCCAGCCCUCAGCAGCUUGGUGACAUUUCUGUCACAAAAAAAAAGACCCCAAACAUCUCCAGUUCUGUCCCUCAGAAUGGGGAUUUUGGGAUUGAUACAAUCAGAGAUGAGGGUGAGGUUGUUUAAUGGAAGUCUUGAGUUGAACGAAAAUCUCUGAACUAAAUCACAGCACACCCAUAUCCUUCAAGCUGUCAAACAAAACAUCUGGUUAUGAUAAUCAUUAUCUUAAUUGAAGAGUUCUAGCUCAUGCCAUGCUUUUCUUCAUUAAUGGAGAGAAUUAAUGAAAGAAUACUUAGGAAAGUACUUAACUAUUUAACUGAGAGCUACUUCUGAAGUGAAACACUGCUGAAGGAAUACUGGAAUUCAUCUUAGCCUCCUAGAUAAACUUCCUCCUGGUGAACUUCACCAAGUUAACCAUUUUUCAGCCUCCAAUGCUGCAGUACAAAUGUGCUUCCUUAAAUCUGGCUUGCUUGCAGACAGAGUCUGACACACUGGAUUUAGUACAGCUGCAGAAUUAACAUUCAGAACUCCCAUGCUGCACAGUUUCCCCACGUGUUACAUAAAAAUGCUGUGCAGUUCCUCUCUCCAAAGCUCCUCUCUCAGGGCUUUAGCUGCCUGUUUGCCUCCCCUUUGGUUGCUGUUUUCAUUUAUACAAAUCCAAUUUUACACACUCGCCCCAAUUACCGUUCAUUGGGAGAUAAACAUUGUAAAUUGAUAAUUCUGCCUAAUAUUGACUUAACAUGCAAGGUGUGACAGCUUCAGAACGUAUUUUGAAGGUUUGUUGUGUUGCAGGUGAGGGGAGGAAAUGUGCUUUUCUUUGAACACCUGAGCUGCAGAGCUGUGAUGGUUUGGAUGUUGUUGAGUUUCAACGUGCACAGUUUGGGAUCCAUGUCUGUCUUGUUUAAUCCUUCAAGGUAGAGAAUGGCUCAGAUUCCAUCCCCAAAUUUUCAGAAUUUGUCAUCCAGAGACUGAAUUUCAUUCUGGAAGGUUUUUGGGAAAGGAACUGAUUUGAUUUUGGGAGUAGAUGGAUUUUAAAGUAAGAUUUAGGUAAAUACCAUCAGGAACAUCUCCUCCUCCUCCAUGGCUUUUCAUAGCAAAAGUAGCUCUGUUAUUUUUGUAUUCUAAAGAAAUAUUUCCUAACCUUUAUUUUACAAAGAGUCCCUUUUAGCAACUAACUAAAUUUUUUUUACUUUUAUCAGUUUUUCAGCCCAGAUUUGGAAAUCAUUCCUUCCCUCUUUAUCCUAAUGGUCCUUCCCCUGCAGGAGAAUCUCAGCCUGGAUUCCAGUGGAUUCAGCAGUGAAGGAUGGACUGGGAGCAGUGUGAAAUUCUUGUUGCAUCUCCUGACAGGAGAGCAGAGCCACAGAGCAGGAAACAGCAUCAACAUUCUUCAUAAAGCAGAGAAAAUAGGUGCAGGCAAAUCCUUUAAAUUGAACUCUAAUGAAAUUAUUGUUUAUGGCCCAGCCUCUCCCUUCCAUCCAGAAUCUGUCAUUUAGGUGAUUGGGCCAGUAGGUGCAAACAUAAUUGAAUCCAGGGAAAUAAAUAAGGAGGGAGGCUGGGGAUUGUUUGCUAAAAAAGAAGACAUCUAGUUUACUAAUUAGGAGGAUUUAUAGAUGCUGCACUUAAAAAUAGAUGAUUAUUGAUAGCUCAUCUUAAUUAUGAGAGUUACUUUAUGGUAACUUUGGGGUUUCUUCCAGCAGUAACCAGGAGCAGCAGCCCCUCUGCUCUGGGCUCUGUUGUUUGCAGCUGGAAACUUUCUGAAAGGCUGCACAGAAACAAUGUUGUCAAUUUAGAGAGGAGGUAGCAAAAAAUGUGUGUUACAUCUGUCUUUGAAUUAGUUACUCAGAGGAAAGAAGGGGGAAUUGUUUUUGAUGAUAAGAGCAUAAAAAGUUAUGGGACUGUAGGAAACUAAGAUGGAAAUUGCUUUUGAUAUUCUCAUCUAAAGGUAUUUUAAUGGAAGGCAGAAGUAGAUAUUAAACUAAAAUAUUUGUCAGUGGACACUGCUGAAGUGCAAGUUAAGUAUUUUUAAAUUUCAUUUAUUUUAAAUGCAGUAGUGCCGAUAACACUGGCACUUAGGUCAAUAUCAUUUCUCAUUAAAGUUCUUUUAACACUCACAGCUUUAUCAGUUACCAGCGAGCUCAUCACAGCACCAGGUAUGAAUUCCACAUUUGCCUUUAUCUCAUUCAUUUCUCUAUCCUGCACUUCAAUAAUUUGAAUCUGAAGUAUAUCAGGAAAACAGAGUUGUUUUCUUCUCUUGGAGAGCUCAAGCAGAACUAUUCCUCACAAACAGCAACCAACAGCCAGGCUGAAUUACCAUGGAGGAUGCUGCAGCUGAGCUUGUAAAUAUUAUUUUGAUAGACUUACAUUUCCUUCUGAAAGGAAAGAGCAUUAAGGAAUAUUUUGAAAAUCUAGAAAGGGAAUAAUAGAAAAUAAACCCAAAGCCCGUAAGAUGAAUUUGGCUCACCAGCCUUUUUGCCAUUUCAUGUCUAUCAUUCAUUUUGGAGAUGUAUCAGUUACAUCAAGCUGAGGCCAGUUCAGUUUUAUGUGCCUGUAAAAUGGAGUGGAUUCACCAGGAUCUGGCCCAUUCUCUUCUGUCACCUCAUAUUUCUGUUACUGUGUCUGUACAUUCUAUUUUAACAGUUUGGAGAAAAAUAAAUGGAAAUUUCUAAGUAAAUAUUUUUACAUUCAGCUACUCCAUAGAGCUUCUGUAUUGUGUAUUGCUCCAAGUAAUUCAUCAUGAUGAAAUGCAAUGCCGAAGUAAAAGAGUUAAUUAAAAUUUAGAUUGGAAAUUGAAACACCAAAUGAAUCCAAUCUGAGAGUUAUGAUUUCAGGUUUCUUAUGCCCAGCAACAAAUAAAUGAAUAUCCAAGGAGUGGGACAGCAAUACACUCAGCAGGAGCUGUGGAAUAAAGAAUCUUUAAUUCAGAAAUGUGCACUUUGCUUUUGGCAGGGCUGUUGUGAGAAGGGGUUUGUAACGCCCCAGGAGAUGGGAUUGUUCUGGAUUUGGGAGGAACCAGCAGCUCUAGAGGUGUGAGGAUGCAUUUGCCAUUCCUCAGCUGCCUCAGGAAGUGCAGAACUUUGCUCCUACACUUCCCUCUGGGUGCAGGCUGAUGUGUCCCAUGGACAAUCCAGCUCAGUGUAAAAAUGACUUCAGUUUGCUUCUGAUUUAAUUGCAAAAUCAUUCAGACUUUGUGUGUUUUCUCUGUGAGUAAUCCAAAUUUAGAUUUCACUGUUGGUGCUACCUGGGUUUUUUUCUGCGUUUGUGUUUAAUGCAGCUGAAAGUUAUUAUGUAAAAUGGGUAAAUUGGAGUCUUUAAAGGAGCUGCCAACUUGCAUUUGCCUGAGUUACUUCAGCAGUGGAGAGCAGAGGAAGAAUUCCAGACACGUCAUCCUGAUUUCACAAGUCUGCAGAGAUCUCCAGAGUGGACUUACCCAUCUGUGAGGAAGGCUAUACAUGCAAAUUCAGAUUCCUGAAGCAUUCCCACUAACUCUGCCCUUCUGUUCUGGCAGAAUGAGGAAAAACUGUGGGCUGCCAAAAGGUGAAGACAACCACUUUAUCUGCAAGAGAAUAUUCAUUGAUGGCACUUCACUGGUGAUACAGGUUUGAAAUGGGAAAAUGGGCUUAAAGCCUUCUUCAGGAGAGAUUUACUCUCAGCUUUCUCCAGUGGGAUUGCUUUGAGUCUGUAAGGGCAUCAUGGUUGAGGGCAUGAGGAUGAGGACAUCAAAGCCUUUGCCCACUGAUGACAAUUUCUCUGGAGACAAACACAGCUCAGAAGACAAAUGUUAUGAGCUACCUGUAAGUUCUGGUUCACAAAACAGAUGAGAAUCCAGAGAUACUCCUGAACUUGGAAAUGAAAUUUAUUCUCAAGGUAAUGGUUGAGCUCAUUAUCUGCUGCUCUUUCUAAAUGUGAAGUAAGGAGAGCAAUGCCCAUAUAUCCUCUGUAACAGCUGACAUGUUUUCUGCAUUCCUGUGUUUGCCUAAGAAGUCAUGGAUAAUCAAUUUGAUGUGCAAAAUAAACUGCAUGGAUGAAUUCUGAUACAUAUCACUUGCCAUGGCUGUGCUGUUAGGAGAGGCAAAAACUUCCAGGAAGGAAAGAGCAAGGAAAAAUCUGCCUGAUAAUUUUCUCAUCAGUUUUUCUCCAAGGACAUUUCUGUAGGUGGAUUCUAUAGACAGUGUUUGGGUGUUUUUCCCCCCUUGAGUGGCUGGGUCUGUGUGUGUCAGUUAUUUUCUCCUGCUGUAUUAGAAAUCAAAGCUAAAUAUCACUUCAGGAUAAAUAUAUCUAUAUUUAUAUCUCUACAUCUACCUCCUAUAAUGCUAACUGGGAAGGAUAAAUAUAUCUAUAUUUAUCUCUAUAUAUCUAUCUCCUAUAAUCCUAACUAGGAAAAACUAACCUGAAACACUUAAUUUUCAGCCUUUCUUAUUUUUUAAAUAUAUAUUCUAAAUUAUUUUUAAAAUUCCCCACAUGCAUUACAAAUAACUUCCCAUCUGAUUGGGAAGCAGAAUAGGCAGGAACCAGCAACAGACAGAUGUGAUUAUAAAAGAUGUUCUGUUUGUUAUAAUGAGACUUAUGGUCUUAAUAAACUCUUAGAAUGUUUUUAACACAACCAAAUUAAGUAAGUUUAAAAUCUGAUUUUCUAAAUCUAACCCUAUCAGAUCACUUUUUGCCUUAUUUUUGAGGAUACUCCACCUCAAAUUUUUCUUAGCUUUAGACAAUUUCUCACAAAAUAAAGUUCCAGCAAAGAAAAAAGGGAAAUUUGUACAGAUAAAAAGCAUGAAUGACAAUCCUGAUCAAGUGGAAAAAAUCAAUCUGUGAGCUUAGACAUAGUUCCACAUCAGUCUCCUCCCUUCUUGGAAAUCCAGAUUUCCCCCCGAAUAUCCAGCAGCGUUACGUGGCCUGUCAAAAUUUCCUCAUAAUAUUUCAUGUCCUUGUGCUGGGAAGAAACAGCUGGAUAUUUUGUGUCAUGAUGUGACCAAUCCACCUCUGUUGUUGUCAUUUUAAUUGCUGGGGCUGCAUUUUUAGGUCCUCCACAGAAGGUCUUUGUAGUGACAAGAGAACGGUUCACGCUUCGUAAGCAAACAUAAAGAAUGCUGCUGCUAAUUGGAGAGGGAGUAAUGCAGUUAUGAUUCCAUCAACAUUUAAGUUACAUUGGGAAAGGACACGUUUUUUGUUGGGCCUGUGUUGCCACAGAAAAUUUUACUCCAAGUGGAUUUGGUGGGGAAGGUUUUGGAACAGAACAGAUUAAUCCUGGAAUGACAGGGGAUGGGGGAGAUGGGAGUUAAAUUGUUCGAAGCUACAUCUACAGUAGAAAAUCAGCAUUUUAUUGCUCUUGCUUUGAAAUUGUAGGUAUUAAUUGCUGGCUUGUGAAAUAGCUUGUCUGGGAAAAUGGAAAGAAUGGACAGCCUCAAAAAACUCCCUUUCCCCUGCCCUGAAGAACUGCAGCCACAGUGUUUCAUGUGGAGCAGGGCUCCUCACAAAUCACCAGUUUCCCAAAGAAAGGAGGUUCCUAUUCAUAAUUCAGGUAUUUUGGGUGUUUUCCCCUUGAUAUUCUGCUGUUGUACCUAUAGACAUCCCAAUUUCUAAAAGCCUGCUGGACCUUGUGCUAAACCUUGGCUUUUUUCCUGGAUUACACUUCCAUGGAAUACUUGGCCAUGGAUUAACAGUUUCACAGUUAUGUGCCCAAAGUUCUUUUGCCUUCGUGCUGAUUUAAUUCUUUUUCUACUCCCAUCUCUCUUCUCAGGUGGAGCCUCAUCUUGAGCAGCCUUGGGAGGCCCAAAGGUUCUCCCUUUUCCAGUUCCCUGCCUGGAUUUUAGCAGAUACCAUUUUUUAGCAUCUCAACGAGGAAAUCACAACAAUUUCCAUGGGAAGAAUCCCAGAGAUGACAGGGCUUCCCCCCAAAACACUGCCUGUGUAAUUGCUGAAGACAUUCCAAGCCCCUCUAACGAAGUGCUGUCUGCCAGUCAUUCUGUUCUCCUUGCAGGACCAUCUGUUGCACUUCAAAUAUGUAAAGGUCUCUAUCAUUUAUUGCUCCAAACAAAUCCAGGCCUUUGUCUGAUGUGCUGGAGCUCCUGAAUGGAUUCUCAAGGUGGUUUCAGUCACAAAGGGCAGGGUGUUGCCUUUGGUUGUCCUCCCUCAGCUCAAAUUUCAGAGCACAAAAAUACUGAUUAAACCAAUAGCUGGAUAUUUUCAAUUUCUUUAGAAAUGAAUUACGAACAAUAACAACUAAAAAUAUCUGAAAUACGUUUUUAUUCAGCCAGGAGGACAUUGGAAGGUUUUUGCCUCUGGUGAACAAAUCUUUCCGUUGUAAAUGGUGUCCAGAUUUGAUAUAUGCUGAGAUUGGAAUGAAAAUUACCUUAUUUUAACUAAAUUAAUUAGCUUAUUUAUAUCUGAAAAUAGUGAUUCAAAGGAAUGGUAAAAAAUAGAGUCAGCAGCUUAAAAUGCUCAAACCAUCCUUAGCACAUGUCCUUUACAAGGAUGUAAUACUUGGUUGUACAAUCCUUAUUUAUAGGUUAAUUAGGAUCCUUUCCAUGAGUAAAAUGAGCAAGAUCAGGCAUUAAAAGAUGCUUUUUUUGUUUUUCCUGCUGCAGAUUUUAAAGAGGCUCUACAAUCAAAAUGGAGAAGGGAUAUUUGGAUUCUGGUAACUCAAGACAUGCUGAGUGAAGAUUCUGCUCUACCUUUUACUCUGGACAUAUUUUACACUCACAUGUAGCACAGUGUACCACACAUGUUUGGGUAAUUUUGCAGGGAUCUGAUGAAGUUGUUAAAGCCAGGUAGGCAAUUUUGCCAGCAGUGAUAUUUUUAAUCUUCUUUUUUAAAAUGGUUUGGUAGUAGUGACUAAGGCAGACUAGGUGGCUCUGGGCAGCUCGCCAUUUGUAGGUAGUUUAAUUUGUUAAAAAUUAUCUUUCUUCCCACCCAAAUCCCCUUGAAACCAUUUGGAGAAGAGAAGUGUUGAAGAGUUGCCAGUAAUAAGUCCUGCUGAGACCUCGGUAUCCUCCUGACAGAAAUGUUGGUGCCAACUGGAGACUGACUGGCACGAGUUUGAACUCUGCACUACUUGAUAUAUUUGCUUCACAUGCACCAAUUACAAUAAUUACCACCUCUGCAGCUGAAGUUUAAGCACUCACUCUGCACUCCAUACCUCAGGUUGUUGGCAGUAUGUUCAAUCCUAUAAUCUCAAUUUUCUUGGAAUAAUUAAGUAGAAAAGAAACACUUCAAAAAAUGAGGAGUCUGAAUGGAAAUCAGAGGCUGAAUAAUAGAGUUGUUUGUCAUGUUGCUAUUGUUAAGCUGCACUUAUUUCUAUUUCAUCUUUAUUUCUAAAAAGCAGCAUCUUCUUUUGCCUGCAGAGAUUCACCAGGAGAUGCUGUAAUCCAUUGACUUUUACAUUCAGCAGUGGAGAAUCUCUUGAUGUGAAGGACAAGGCAACGUGAACUCCUGCUUUGUUUAGAUGUUUUAAAAAUAUAAAUAUUCCUUUCAAAAUAAAUGCUUUGACUAGAAGAGGAAAUCACCCAGCCCUUACUCCUUUUGGCUGGAUGUUUCCAUGUGAGAUUGUAGGGAUUUAAUACCUGACAAUUUAAUUCCUGGCAAUUCCACUGGUUUAAAUCUGAUGCAAUGGGGACCAUCUCUCCCCCACCCCUGGUGUCUUUCCAAGAGACUGGUUAAUUUUUAAAUUGGAUCAGCAACAUUCAAAAAAAAACAAAAAUUGGUAAAGUUUCUAUUACGCAAAGAUAAGCCUUAGACUGAGCACAAACUGACUUGCCUGUAGCUUUCCUAAUAUGAUUGCACUGUGCAGAGUAGAUACUAAAAUUUAUAUUAAAAUUUCUUUAUGCAGGUUCCCUCUAGGGAGAGGAAGAGGGAAGGGAAAAGCUUCAUGUGACAGAUGCUAAUUAUGCAGCUUAAUGCACUUCUGGAAGUUGCAGAGAUGAGAACUCUAUAAGAACCUAUCUACAAAACAAAGCACAUUUUCAACAGCAUUUUUCCCUCAAUGCUUUUUUAAUCUGCCUCCUCUCUGUUUUAUUUCCCAAAGAGUACAAAGGGCAGGCGGUGUCUCGGGUGCAGAACUCACCAGCCAUGGGUGUGAUUGCUCUCCAUUGUGCAUUGCUGCUCUGUCCAUGGAAUUGGGAAAGCUGCAAGGGAGGAGCUGGAGUUCAGAAUUCCCCAAUUGAUGUGUUAGCUUUCUUCCCUCUUUGGUGGAUGUUUUAUCAGCUCCUUAUCCUGGGUUUAGGUUUGCUGGAUGUUCUGCAGGGAUCCUGCAGAAGGAUUUGUUGUGAUGGAUGUGUCAGGGCUGAUGAACCAGAUCCCAAAAUGCUUUGUGUAGAGAAGUGAGCCGAGGUCCUCAAAGCUGGAGGUGCAGCCACACCAACCCCAGCGUUAGACACUAAUCCUCUCUUCCAGACACUGAGCUGUGCAGUUUGAGGGAAGAGAAAUGGGAAAAUUAUCCUGAAAUCAAUCCAGACUUGCAGGAACCAUUGUCCUGCAUAUCCAAAUCUACCAAAUCCCUUUUACCAAGUGAUUCUCUUCCCUCUUAGUGACAAACCCAAACCAGCUCUCAUGUGCUUGGUGCAGAAUCCUGCUUUCCCCGAUGCCCUUCACAUUUCCCGGUGGGGAGGAGUGACUCGAGAGCCUCUCCCAGGGCCAUGGGGGUGCCCAGGGGCUCCCGAGGGGCCGGGGCUGGCCCUGGGCACCCAGGAAUGCUCCUGGGCUGCAGCCAGCCCGGGGAAAACCAUCUGUUCCCCUUGGAAAGGGGUUUGCUUCCCCCGGAGCCCUCCCCCCGCAUCCCGGCUCCGGCCCCAGCUGCCGUGCUGCCACGAGCACUGAGGGAAUGAAUCUCCUGCGUUUAAAAAUACUCCGCUUCUAUUUAGAUGAAAAGAAGAAUCUUGCUUGCCUACACUGGCAUACAAAAAUAGGCUCAGUGUGAGUAAAUCUUCAAAGUUUCUCUUGGUGAAUAUAUCUAGCCUCACUUCUUUUUUUUAACUUAUCAUAUAAGUUUAUUUAUAGAGUGUCCUUCUUUCCUCCUACUCUAUCAAGACAUUUGCAGAAGGUUGUCGCUCGUCUUGUUCAGGAGUCCUGAAAUAAUUUGCAGGGCCUUUGAAACAUCAUCGUGUUGCAUAGUUGUGAUCAACGUGCUGCUGUUGCAUGAACAUAUCAUAUUUUAAUGUGAAUGUCAGGUUAGCUGAGACAUUCAGGGCUUUUUUUUACUUUAGGUGCUUUACACUGGUUUGUGUUUUCACUCGAACGCUGCAGUAAAAAUUCUGCAUAUAGUAAUUUGAAAUUUUCCAUUUUACAUGCAAGGCAUUGCCUAGAAAAUUAAUGUGUAAUAUGAGAGGAUUAGUAAGAUGCAUACACUUUCCAAACAUCUCUUAAAAAUAGCUUUCACUGUCACUGUAGCAUCUUAAUUCUGAAUAAUCUCACAGUCCUUCUGCAAAUCUGUGCAUGUAGUAACAGAGAAGCCACCUACUUCAUCCUCUUGAACUGCACAAUAUGGAUCCGGGCAUGGAUGGAAAAAAAUGGGUUUGGAGUUGGUCUCUGCUUUGGCAGAGAGGCUGUCUGUGGGACUAGUGAGAGCAUUAACGCUUGCAUUAAAUAUUAAAGUCAGCUUUCACAAUUCUU